RNAcentral lists this ribosomal RNA (253 nucleotides) under uncultured bacterium. RNAcentral's name for it is "partial 16S ribosomal RNA". It matches the Rfam family "Bacterial small subunit ribosomal RNA", at positions 524 to 776 of the family's 1533-position model. The record is from RNAcentral.
UACAGAGGUCCCGAGCGUUGUUCGGAUUCACUGGGCGUAAAGGGUGCGUAGGUGAUGAAGUAAGUCGGAUGUGAAAUCUCGGAGCUUAACUCCGAAACUGCAUUGGAAACUACUUUGCUCGAGGGUUGGAGGGGGGACUGGAAUUCUCGGUGUAGCAGUGAAAUGCGUAGAUAUCGAGAGGAACACCAGUGGCGAAGGCGAGUCCCUGGACAACUCCUGACACUGAGGCACGAAAGCUAGGGGAGCAAACAGG